UCCUGGUGGCGAGUGGCGAACGGGUGAGUAAUAUAUCGGAACGUGCCCAGUCGUGGGGGAUAACGUAGAGAAAUUUACGCUAAUACCGCAUACGAUCUAAGGAUGAAAGCGGGGGACCGUAAGGCCUCGCGCGAUUGGAGCGGCUGAUAUCAGAUUAGGUUGUUGGUGAGGUAAAAGCUCACCAAGCCGACGAUCUGUAGCUGGUUUGAGAGAACGACCAGCCACACUGGGACUGAGACACGGCCCAGACUCCUACGGGAGGCAGCAGUGGGGAAUUUUGGACAAUGGGCGAAAGCCUGAUCCAGCAAUGCCGCGUGCAGGAAGAAGGCCUUCGGGUUGUAAACUGCUUUUGUACGGAACGAAAAGGUCUGCCUUAAUACGGCGGGCCCAUGACGGUACCGUAAGAAUAAGCACCGGCUAACUACGUGCCAGCAGCCGCGGUAAUACGUAGGGUGCGAGCGUUAAUCGGAAUUACUGGGCGUAAAGCGUGCGCAGGCGGUGAUGUAAGACAGUUGUGAAAUCCCCGGGCUCAACCUGGGAAUUGCAUCUGUGACUGCAUCGCUAGAGUACGGUAGAGGGGGAUGGAAUUCCGCGUGUAGCAGUGAAAUGCGUAGAUAUGCGGAGGAACACCGAUGGCGAA
Molecule: ribosomal RNA, 640 nt
Filed under: Polaromonas sp. B412_3
Lineage: Bacteria; Pseudomonadati; Pseudomonadota; Betaproteobacteria; Burkholderiales; Comamonadaceae
Description: bacterial SSU rRNA
Rfam family: Bacterial small subunit ribosomal RNA
Source: RNAcentral